RNAcentral lists this ribosomal RNA (271 nucleotides) under uncultured Burkholderiales bacterium. Its description in RNAcentral is "partial 16S ribosomal RNA". It matches the Rfam family "Bacterial small subunit ribosomal RNA", at positions 524 to 795 of the family's 1533-position model. The record is from RNAcentral. Lineage: Bacteria; Pseudomonadati; Pseudomonadota; Betaproteobacteria; Burkholderiales.
UACGUAGGGUGCGAGCGUUAAUCGGAAUUACUGGGCGUAAAGCGUGCGCAGGCGGUUAUGUAAGACAGAUGUGAAAUCCCCGGGCUCAACCUGGGAACUGCAUUAGUGACUGCAUAGCUGGAGUACGGCAGAGGGGGAUGGAAUUCCGCGUGUAGCAGUGAAAUGCGUAGAUAUGCGGAGGAACACCGAUGGCGAAGGCAAUCCCCUGGGCCUGUACUGACGCUCAUGCACGAAAGCGUGGGGAGCAAACAGGAUUAGAUACCUGGUAGUC